This 211-nucleotide long non-coding RNA is filed under the name Elaeis guineensis (African oil palm). RNAcentral's name for it is "long non-coding RNA (EGUI_LNC033615)". The record is from RNAcentral. Lineage: Eukaryota; Viridiplantae; Streptophyta; Magnoliopsida; Arecales; Arecaceae.
GACAGUGAAAUCCGAGCUGUUCCUUUCUCCUCCCUUUUUCCUAAGUAGACACUCCCAUUUAAAAUACCCUGCUAUACCAUACUUGUAGUACUUCCUAGCCUUCUUACUGUCUUUCUGGGACUAUCUUUAUCCUAUUUACACCUAUGCACCCUUAUUCUUCCCUUUUUUGGGCCUCUCUGAAACCGCAAGACUCUCCUGGAAGACCUCCCUC